RNAcentral lists this ribosomal RNA (279 nucleotides) under uncultured bacterium. Its description in RNAcentral is "partial 16S ribosomal RNA". It matches the Rfam family "Bacterial small subunit ribosomal RNA", at positions 506 to 784 of the family's 1533-position model. The record is from RNAcentral.
UGCCAGCCGCCGCGGUAAUACGGAGGGAGCGAGCGUUAAUCGGAAUUACUGGGCGUAAAGCGCGCGUAGGCGGCUUAGUAAGUCGGAUGUGAAAGCCCUGGGCUUAACCUGGGAAUGGCAUUCGAUACUGCUUGGCUAGAGUAUGGUAGAGGGAAGUGGAAUUUCCGGUGUAGCGGUGAAAUGCGUAGAUAUCGGAAGGAACACCAGUGGCGAAGGCGACCACCUGGUACAGUAUUGACGCUGAGAUGCGAAAGCGUGGGGAGCUAACAGGAUUAGAUA